Molecule: long non-coding RNA, 273 nt
Filed under: Solanum tuberosum (potato)
Lineage: Eukaryota; Viridiplantae; Streptophyta; Magnoliopsida; Solanales; Solanaceae
Description: long non-coding RNA (STUB_LNC002105)
Source: RNAcentral
AUUGCAGGAUGUUUCAUUUCCUGAUUUUAACAAGUAUUCUCAACAUUGAUUGCGGCACCUUCAUCAAAGCAGAGGUUACAUGGUGAUGGUGAUUUAAGUGAUCAUAAUCAUGAUCUCAAAGUUGAGAUGUGUACUUCUUUGGCAUUGUUAUUUUCUUUCAUAGACUUUAUUCCAGUGUGCAAUUGACUUUCGCAUCUGUGAAUUAAGUUUUUUCUUUCCAUUUUUUGGCGUCAAGGCCAUAACCCACUCGUGGUUGUUGAAAUUUGUUUUCCC